RNAcentral lists this microRNA (21 nucleotides) under Petromyzon marinus (sea lamprey). Its description in RNAcentral is "pma-miR-31". Its record names the gene pma-miR-31. Lineage: Eukaryota; Metazoa; Chordata; Hyperoartia; Petromyzontiformes; Petromyzontidae. The record is from miRBase by way of RNAcentral.
UGGCAAGAUGCUGGCAUAGCC